RNAcentral lists this small RNA (104 nucleotides) under Arabidopsis thaliana (thale cress). Its description in RNAcentral is "ATSL246960". Lineage: Eukaryota; Viridiplantae; Streptophyta; Magnoliopsida; Brassicales; Brassicaceae. The record is from RNAcentral.
ACCUUGAUGGUAGAAUCACUCAUUAAGAGUUCUUCUGCCAACAACUCAAAUACUGAUGUACCAUAAUGAGCUAAUCCGAAGCUCAAAACACCACCGCACAACAA